Molecule: unclassified non-coding RNA, 1040 nt
Filed under: Hevea brasiliensis (rubber tree)
Lineage: Eukaryota; Viridiplantae; Streptophyta; Magnoliopsida; Malpighiales; Euphorbiaceae
Source: RNAcentral
GUUCAAUAUGCUUGGUAAGCUCCUGUAUUUCAUUUUGCUAAGCUAUGUAUUCUUUGUAUUUAUGCACUCAUUAAUUGUAUAAAAAAAAUUAUAAUCUGCCCAAAUUCCAUUGACCCCUGAUCUAUUUUAGAUUGAUCUUUCUUUCAACCUGAUUUGUCAAUCUAUGGUGAAUAAGAACAAUAGCCAAUUUGCAGCCUAACACACCAGAUCCAGCAUCAGCUCUCUUCUUCAGUAGAAUAGAAGAAAAAUUUCAGGAAUUGAACACACACACUCUGGCUUUGUUGUUAUGGAACUUUGAUAGAGCUCUUCAAUGAUUAAUUCAUAUGAAUUUCUUUUUGAUGACAGGAUACAGUAUUUGAUCCAGUUUCUCUCACAUGUGGCCAUAUAUUCUGCCAUAUGUGCGCUUGCUCCGCUGCUUCAGUGAGUAUUGUUGAUGGCCUAAAAUCUGCAGAGCCCAAAGAAAAAUGCCCUUUAUGCCGGCAGGCUGGAGUUUAUGAAGGUGCUGUGCACUUGGAAGAGCUUAAUAUUCUAUUAAGUCAAAGUUGCAGUAAGUAUUGGGAGGAGCGGAUGCAGUCAGAAAGGGUGGAGAGGGUUCGACAGGCAAAGCAGCAUUGGGAAUACCAGUGUCAGGCAUUCGUGGGUAUCUAGAAUAGAUACUUUGGUAUUGGUACUAGAGAUUUAGACUCGAUUACUGUCUUCAUAACUUCUCAUAAAAGGUCGAGCUUUAGUAUGUGUGUGUAGAUGUGCUCUUUGGUACAUUGCUUGAUUUAGACUAAAUUUUGUAUAUAGCUCUCUGUAUAAAUGUUGAUCUGGCUUGUAGAGAAAUGGAAAUGUGUUCUUCUGCUGUAAAUAACUAAAUGCUUUUGAUUGGGAGAAAGACUUGACAGUUCCCAGCACCAUUGUUCAAAAUGUCAUUAACAUCCCUAAUCUUAUUAAUUAGUUCAUUUAUCAAACUCAUAUAACUCACCUUUUGUAUAAGAAUUUCAAUUCCAAAGGUCAUGUUCUUAUUAAUAAAAAUUCUCCUUAGCCUUUUAUUUCAA